GCUGGGCGUGGUGGUGCAUGCCUGUAAUCCCAGCUACUUGGGAGGCUGAGGCAGGAGAAUUGCUUGAACCUGGGAGGCAGAGAUUGCAGUGAGCCAAGAUCACGCCACUGCGCUCUAUCCUGGGGGACAGAGCAGGACUCUGUCUCGA
This 148-nucleotide non-coding RNA is filed under the name Gorilla gorilla gorilla (western lowland gorilla). Lineage: Eukaryota; Metazoa; Chordata; Mammalia; Primates; Hominidae. The record is from Rfam by way of RNAcentral.